This 134-nucleotide small nucleolar RNA is filed under the name Mesocricetus auratus (golden hamster). Its description in RNAcentral is "Small nucleolar RNA SNORA33 (ENSMAUG00000005131.1)". The record is from RNAcentral. Lineage: Eukaryota; Metazoa; Chordata; Mammalia; Rodentia; Cricetidae.
UAACCAGCCAGUUAAUCUAUUUACCUGAACAUUUCUGCAGACAUUUAGAAAAAGUUUACAAUGGUGAAACUGCGUACAUUACAAAUCUUAAAGACAGCUCAAGUCUUUUAAGAUCCCUGAAAAUGAUCACAAUA